This 253-nucleotide ribosomal RNA is filed under the name uncultured bacterium. Its description in RNAcentral is "partial 16S ribosomal RNA". It matches the Rfam family "Bacterial small subunit ribosomal RNA", at positions 524 to 776 of the family's 1533-position model. The record is from RNAcentral.
UACGUAGGGUGCAAGCGUUGUCCGGAAUUAUUGGGCGUAAAGAGCGUGUAGGCGGCCCGAUUAGUCCGCUGUGAAAGUCCAGGGCUCAACCCUGGAAUGCCGGUGGAUACUGUCGGGCUAGAGUCCGGAAGGGGCGAGUGGAAUUCCUGGUGUAGCGGUGAAAUGCGCAGAUAUCAGGAGGAACACCCGUAGCGAAGGCGGCACUCUGGGCCGAUACUGACACUGAGGAGCGAAAGCGUGGGGAGCGAACAGG